AGAGUUUGAUCAUGGCUCAGAUUGAACGCUGGCGGAAUGCUUUACACAUGCAAGUCGAACGAUGAACCUUAGCUUGCUAAGGGGAUUAGUGGCGAACGGGUGAGUAAUAUAUCGGAACGUGCCUUGUAAUGGGGGAUAACUAGUCGAAAGAUUAGCUAAUACCGCAUACGCCCUGAGGGGGAAAGUAGGGGAUCUUCGGACCUUACAUUAUAAGAGCGGCCGAUAUCUGAUUAGCUAGUUGGUGGGGUAAUGGCCUACCAAGGCGACGAUCAGUAGCUGGUCUGAGAGGACGACCAGCCACACUGGAACUGAGACACGGUCCAGACUCCUACGGGAGGCAGCAGUGGGGAAUUUUGGACAAUGGGCGAAAGCCUGAUCCAGCCAUUCCGCGUGAGUGAAGAAGGCCUUCGGGUUGUAAAGCUCUUUCGCAAGGGAAGAAAACUUACAUUCUAAUAAAGUGUGAGGCUGACGGUACCUUGAUAAGAAGCACCGGCUAACUACGUGCCAGCAGCCGCGGUAAUACGUAGGGUGCGAGCGUUAAUCGGAAUUACUGGGCGUAAAGCGUGCGCAGGCGGUUUGGCAAGUCAGACGUGAAAUCCCCGAGCUCAACUUGGGAACUGCGUUUGAAACUGCCAGACUAGAAUAUGUCAGAGGGGGGUAGAAUUCCACGUGUAGCAGUGAAAUGCGUAGAGAUGUGGAGGAAUACCAAUGGCGAAAGGCAGCCCCCUGGGAUAAUAUUGACGCUCAUGCACGAAAGCGUGGGGAGCAAACAGGAUUAGAUACCCUGGUAGUCCACGCCCUAAACGAUGUCUACUAGUUGUUGGUGGAGUAAAAUCCAUGAGUAACGCAGCUAACGCGUGAAGUAGACCGCCUGGGGGAGUACGGUCGCAGAUUAAAACUCAAAGGAAUUGACGG
This 915-nucleotide ribosomal RNA is filed under the name uncultured bacterium. RNAcentral describes it as "bacterial SSU rRNA". It matches the Rfam family "Bacterial small subunit ribosomal RNA", at positions 8 to 916 of the family's 1533-position model. The record is from RNAcentral.